Molecule: ribosomal RNA, 387 nt
Filed under: Triticum aestivum (bread wheat)
Lineage: Eukaryota; Viridiplantae; Streptophyta; Magnoliopsida; Poales; Poaceae
Description: partial small subunit ribosomal RNA
Source: RNAcentral
AUGCAACUCGUACCCCGCUCUUCCGCCGCCCACUUACAAAACAAAUGCCAGUUGCAACCAGGUGUGUCGGCAUGCAGUUGCAACCGUGUGUGUAGGAAAGCAAUUGCACUUGAGGGCGACACCUGUAGUUGCAAGCCUACUAUUGGACAUGCAACUAACCCCUUCCCCUCUCCGACCAAAAAUGCAAGGCCAGUUGCAGCAGUGAGGCGACAUGCAUUUGCGGUCAAGCGCAACACUUGCAGUUGCAAGUAUAGUAUCGAACAUGCAUCUCGCACCCCUCUCUUGCCGCCCCUUACCAAAAGAAUGUCAGUUGCAACUUGGUAUGUGGGCAUGCAAUUGCAGUCAAGAACAAUGCUUAAAGUUGCAAGCCUAAUGUUGGACAUGUAA